UGAGGAAUAUUGGUCAAUGGACGAGAGUCUGAACCAGCCAAGUAGCGUGCAGGAUGACGGCCCUAUGGGUUGUAAACUGCUUUUGUUUGGGAAUAAUCGACAUUACGUGUAAUGUUUUGCAUGUACCAUUCGAAUAAGGACCGGUUAAUUCCGUGCCAGCAGCCGCGGUAAUACGGAAGGUCCAGGCGUUAUCCGGAUUUAUUGGGUUUAAAGGGAGUGUAGGCGGUUGGUUAAGCGUGUUGUGAAAUGUAGAUGCUCAACAUCUGACUUGCAGCGCGAACUGGCUGACUUGAGUACACACAACGUAGGCGGAAUUCAUGGUGUAGCGGUGAAAUGCUUAGAUAUCAUGAAGAACUCCGAUUGCGAAGGCAGCGUACGGGAGUGUUACUGACGCUUAAGCUCGAAGGUGCGGGUAUCGAACAGG
Molecule: ribosomal RNA, 424 nt
Filed under: Verrucomicrobiota bacterium
Lineage: Bacteria; Pseudomonadati; Verrucomicrobiota
Description: Verrucomicrobia bacterium partial 16S ribosomal RNA
Rfam family: Bacterial small subunit ribosomal RNA
Source: RNAcentral